RNAcentral lists this ribosomal RNA (442 nucleotides) under uncultured bacterium. RNAcentral's name for it is "bacterial SSU rRNA". It matches the Rfam family "Bacterial small subunit ribosomal RNA", at positions 15 to 507 of the family's 1533-position model. The record is from RNAcentral.
GAUCAUGGCUCAGAACACGCUGGCGGCAUGCCUAACACAUGCAAGUCGAACGAUGCCUUCGGGCAUAGUGGCGCACGGGUGCGUAACGCGUGGGAAUCUGCCCUUGGGUUCGGAAUAACUCAGAGAAAUUUGAGCUAAUACCGGAUGAUGACGUAAGUCCAAAGAUUUAUCGCCCAAGGAUGAGCCCGCGUAAGAUUAGCUAGUUGGUGGGUAAAGGCCUACCAAGGCGACGAUCUUUAGCUGGUCUGAGAGGAUGAUCAGCCACACUGGGACUGAGACACGGCCCAGACUCCUACGGGAGGCAGCAGUGGGAAUAUUGGACAAUGGGCGAAAGCCUGAUCCAGCAAUGCCGCGUGAGUGAUGAAGGCCUUAGGGUUGUAAAGCUCUUUUACCAGGGAUGAUAAUGACAGUACCUGGAGAAUAAGCUCCGGCUAACUCCGUG